This 471-nucleotide long non-coding RNA is filed under the name Pan troglodytes (chimpanzee). RNAcentral describes it as "long non-coding RNA NONPTRT006877". The record is from RNAcentral. Lineage: Eukaryota; Metazoa; Chordata; Mammalia; Primates; Hominidae.
CACCAGCUGGGUUCCCGGAAGGGUGGGGCCGGGGCCGAGGCCAGCAGGGCGCGCCGCCUACCUCCGGGGCCACGCCACUGCCCUCGCUGUAGUUCUCGGAGAUGAGCUGAUCGAAGAGCAGGUGGAUCUCGGUGCGGGCAGAGCUGCUGUCAUCCGGGCGCAGGGCGCAGAGCCUGGCAGACAAGAGGCGAAACCCAUUGCCUCGCUCAGGGAUUGCUUCCCGCGGUGCCUCCCGCGGCUGCCCGGAAGAUGCACUGUUGUGCUGGUGCCUUAAGUGCAUUUGGGGUCGGCCUUUUGGCCCAUCUCUCAUGGGAAUGAGGAUUCUGUGGUCAAAUACAUUGGGCAGAUGCUGCCUACUUCAUCCCCCUUACUGAGAGUCGAGGAGCAGCCCAUCAGCACAUUAAAGGCUCUGGUAAGUCCUACAGUAAAGAAAUUGGUUUAACAAUGUUUUCCAGUGUGAUCUGACCACAG